Molecule: long non-coding RNA, 1590 nt
Organism: Symphalangus syndactylus (siamang)
Lineage: Eukaryota; Metazoa; Chordata; Mammalia; Primates; Hylobatidae
Source: RefSeq, a predicted model, not a curated record
GGCUCGCUGCUUGGCUUAGGGUUAGCAGCACCCUGACCGGAGCGGAAGAGCUGCCCGCCGCCGCGUAACCCCGAGGCCGAGACUCCCGGCCUGGCCUCUUUGGGCCCACGACGCCUGCCCCGCGGAGCGGACCCAUGGGCCUGAGGUCGGCACAGACGCAACCCAGGCUCCUCCAACCUCCCACAGUGCAGUGUCCUGAAUGGAGGACCCCAGCACCCAGAAGCAUCCGCUGAAGGACGUAAGUAGGACAAGGCCAACUGUGGCUGUUCCAGCAGAGGGACUGUGGAUGGUUUCCCUUCUCCGAUUUCUAAGCUAUCCGCAAACUUGUUUCAUUUAUAAUUGAAAAUAUAAUUUGCAUAACAGCAGUCUAAAUUCUACACAUGAAGGCAAACAUCUGUGGUUGACAGAAAUUACACUGGCCAGAAUCCCCAGUCACCAUGAGACCUGUCCAGAUGCAGUGAACCAGUUGCAGCUGACAUCACGCAGACCAUUCCCGAUCCCAGAGCAGCAUUUCAGGAUUCAUUCUAUUUCAUCAGGAGAUGUUUUAACAGGAACAAAACCGAAGGCAGGGUGGGGGUGGGGGGGGGGGGCGGGGAGCUGGAGGUUGGAAUCACACCAACAUUACAGAUUAAAAAAAAAAAUUACUUUUUUGGCUGGGUGCUGUGGCUCACACCUAUAAUCCCAGCACUUUGGGAGGCCAAGGCAGGUGGAUUACCUGAGGUCGGGAGUUCGAGACCAACCUGACCAACAUGGAGAAACCCCGUCUCUACUAAAAAUACAAAAUUAGCUGGGCAUGGUGGCACAUGCCUGUAAUCCCAGCUACUCGGGAGGCUGAGGCAGGAAAAUCGCUUGAACCCAGGAGGUGGAGGUUGCGCCAUUGCACUCCAGCCCGAGCAACAAGAGCAAAACUCCGUCUCAAAAAAAAAUUUUUUUAAGUAAGUGACACGGUGUCGCACUGUGGCCGAGGCUGGAGUGCAGUGGCUCAAUCAUGGCUCACUGUAACCUUCGACUCAGCUCAAGCAGUCCUCCUGCUUCAGCCUCCCGAGUAGUUGGGACUACAGGUGUGUGCCACCACACUUGGCUAAUUUUUAUAUUUUUUUGGUAGAGACAGGGUCUUCCUGUGUUGCCCAGGCUGGUCUUGAACUCCUGGGCUGAAGCAAUCUCCCUGCCUUGGCCUCCCAGAGGGUUGGAAUUGCAGAUGUGAGGUCAGCGGCCGGCAGAGCUGCUUCUGGCUUUCCAUUUCGGUCAGUGUGCUCUGACACAGCUCCUGAAAAACACGAAAUCUCUGACUGCGAUGACUCACCUGCUGCGUGCCCUGAGCUCCACGCACAGGUUCUGCGGUGUCAAGGCAGCGUGAGGACAGUACUGCGAGCUCCCCGCAGCAGGAUGGUGCCCUUGCUGUGCACCUACCAGUGGGCUGGGGGGGAAGCCAAGGCUGUGGCUGCUGAGUGCCGGAAUGCCUCGUCUCCAUGGAGACCAAACUCAAGGGCCUGACUGGCCCAGUCUACCUAGACCACGAGCCCUGUUAUGCCCCGCAGCCAGGCCAACCCAAAUUCUUUUAAAUAAAAGGCACAAGCCACAGCCACAUCA